RNAcentral lists this ribosomal RNA (688 nucleotides) under uncultured fungus. Its description in RNAcentral is "eukaryotic LSU rRNA". The stretch from base 454 to 688 matches the Rfam family "Eukaryotic large subunit ribosomal RNA", at positions 1 to 238 of the family's 3401-position model. Lineage: Eukaryota; Fungi. The record is from RNAcentral.
UCUGGGAAGGGAGAUAUCAUACACCCUGUGUUUAUUUACUUUUGUUGCUUUGGCGGGCCGUCCUUUAAGGCGUCGGCCCCGGCUGAUCGCGCCCGCCAGAGGACCCAAACUCUUUUAUCAGUGAUGUCUGAGUACUAUAUAAUAGUUAAAACUUUCAACAACGGAUCUCUUGGUUCUGGCAUCGAUGAAGAACGCAGCGAAAUGCGAUAAGUAAUGUGAAUUGCAGAAUUCAGUGAAUCAUCGAAUCUUUGAACGCACAUUGCGCCCGCUGGUAUUCCGGCGGGCAUGCCUGUUCGAGCGUCAUUAUGACCAAUCAAGCUCUGCUUGGCCUUGGGGCCCGCUGUACCGGCGGCCCUUAAAAUCAGUGGCGGUGCCGUCUGGCUCUAAGCGUAGUAAUACUUCUCGCUACAGGGCCCAGUCGUUCACCCGCCAGAACCCUCAACUUUCUUAGGUUGACCUCGGAUCAGGUAGGGAUACCCGCUGAACUUAAGCAUAUCAAUAAGCGGAGGAAAAGAAACCAACAGGGAUUGCCUCAGUAACGGCGAGUGAAGCGGCAACAGCUCAAAUUUGAAAUCUGCCUCUAGGCCGAAUCGUAAUUUGUAGAAGAUGCUUCGGGUGUGGCACUGGUCUAAGUUCCUUGGAACAGGACGUCAUAGAGGGUGAGAAUCCCGUAUGUGACUGGCUGCCU